This 810-nucleotide ribosomal RNA is filed under the name uncultured fungus. Its description in RNAcentral is "SSU rRNA". It matches the Rfam family "Eukaryotic small subunit ribosomal RNA", at positions 563 to 1380 of the family's 1831-position model. Lineage: Eukaryota; Fungi. The record is from RNAcentral.
UGUGCCAGCAGCCGCGGUAAUUCCAGCUCCAAUAGCGUAUAUUAAAGUUGUUGCAGUUAAAAAGCUCGUAGUUGAACCUUGGGUCUGGCUGGCCGGUCCGCCUCACCGCGAGUACUGGUCCGGCUGGACCUUUCCUUCUGGGGAACCUCAUGGCCUUCACUGGCUGUGGGGGGAACCAGGACUUUUACUGUGAAAAAAUUAGAGUGUUCAAAGCAGGCCUUUGCUCGAAUACAUUAGCGUGGAAUAAUAGAAUAGGACGUGCGGUUCUAUUUUGUUGGUUUCUAGGACCGCCGUAAUGAUUAAUAGGGAUAGUCGGGGGCGUCAGUAUUCAGCUGUCAGAGGUGAAAUUCUUGGAUUUGCUGAAGACUAACUACUGCGAAAGCAUUCGCCAAGGAUGUUUUCAUUAAUCAGGGAACGAAAGUUAGGGGAUCGAAGACGAUCAGAUACCGUCGUAGUCUUAACCAUAAACUAUGCCGACUAGGGAUCGGACGGGAUUCUAUAAUGACCCGUUCGGCACCUUACGAGAAAUCAAAGUUUUUGGGUUCUGGGGGGAGUAUGGUCGCAAGGCUGAAACUUAAAGAAAUUGACGGAAGGGCACCACAAGGCGUGGAGCCUGCGGCUUAAUUUGACUCAACACGGGGAAACUCACCAUGUCCAGACAAAAUAAGGAUUGACAGAUUGAGAGCUCUUUCUUGAUCUUUUGGAUGGUGGUGCAUGGCCGUUCUUAGUUGGUGGAGUGAUUUGUCUGCUUAAUUGCGAUAACGAACGAGACCUCGGCCCUUAAAUAGCCCGGUCCGCAUUUGCGGGGCG